Molecule: long non-coding RNA, 1140 nt
Organism: Clupea harengus (Atlantic herring)
Lineage: Eukaryota; Metazoa; Chordata; Actinopteri; Clupeiformes; Clupeidae
Exons: 4
Source: RefSeq, a predicted model, not a curated record
AGCCAUUGAACUACAUAACCCAAUUUAUUAAUUUAAGAAUAUUUUGUAGAAGAUUGAUUUAAAAAGUGCCAUCAGUCUGUUCACUAUAGAAAACCUAUUUCAUAUACUUUUUGUGAAAAGGAGGGAUUCAAUUAGAGACCCUUGGAGGCCUACCCUACGUGCUGUACUGAAAGACAAAGACUUUAAGACAUGAGCUCUUUGGUUUUCAAUCUUUGCUAUUUGACCAUGGCUAAAUUAUUUUCUUUUGGACAGACCCUCGUCAAAAUAAAUUCCAGGAGGAUGUCAUAAAAUGUGUUGAAUUGUAGUACGUAUGAACACCAGACACAGAGAACGAACAAGAGGAAGAUACAAGGGAGUUUUCCAUUGAAAAUGUCUGCACUCGCCAUGAUUUUACUUCUCAGAUUUACCGCAUUCAUUUCUAUAAUCAACAUGGCAGAUGUUGUGACUGAUCAGAGUGAUUUUGUGUUCGGUGCUAACGGUUCCAGUGUCACCAUUUGUAGCCACCUACAGACAUCAGUUUACAGUACUACUAUUCUCUGGUACCACGAGAACCUCGAGGGAGACAUUAAUUUGGUCUGUAUUUUUACCGAGUCUGGACUGCAUCAAGACCGUUUCGUGGGAACACUGCCAGACGCCUCUGGUAAAACUUCACUGACUCUCAGGAAACCCACAAUGUCAGACGCAGGACGCUACUUUGCCAUUCUGAACUUCGGAAGGUCAUAUGUUAGCGGCUCCGCACAGUAUUUGGUUGUAACAGACACUUCUGCUCCGGCCAUGCGCUUGUAUCGAGGGGCUGAUGGCCUUGGCUUUCCCUUGUUUCUCUGUGAGGUGACGGGAGCUGGUGCAAACUGGGGAGAUCCUUAUUGGCAAAUCAAGGGAGAAGGGGCAGUUGGAUGGCUCGAAGGAACCACAGGAAGACGAAUCGGCACUGACGGAGUCUUCACUCGAUGGUCCACUGUCAGACUCAACUCUACACUUAAUGUGGCAUGUGCGUGUCGCCACCAGAACCAGACGAGUGUACUUGUCAGAUCCUAUGAAUUAGAAGCGCCAGAUGGUAAGUUAAGGCAAUGUAUAGGCCUAUAUACUGUAUCCUCUCCCCAUAAUUAUUUCAUCUCGUGGUGGAACAUAAAUUGUGUUAUA